RNAcentral lists this microRNA precursor (199 nucleotides) under Oryza brachyantha (malo sina). Its description in RNAcentral is "MIR812 microRNA precursor family". It matches the Rfam family "MIR812 microRNA precursor family". Lineage: Eukaryota; Viridiplantae; Streptophyta; Magnoliopsida; Poales; Poaceae. The record is from Rfam by way of RNAcentral.
AAUAAACCAAAUUUUUACUUUUUACCUAUAAUUUUUACUCUUCGUCUUAUUCAAUUUUUUUAUGAUUGAUAUUUUUGUUUUUAUUAGAUGAUAAAUCAUGAAUAAUACUUUACAUGUGACUAAUUUUUUCUAAUUUCCUGAAAAUUUUUCAAAUAUGACGGAUGGUCAAACGUUGGACACGGAAACUGUUGAAUUGAUU